CCAGUAGCUCAGUUGGUAGAGCAAUUGACUCUUAAUCAAUGGGUCCAGGGUUCGAGUCCCU
Molecule: transfer RNA, 61 nt
Filed under: chicken gut metagenome
Rfam family: tRNA
About the family: Transfer RNA (tRNA) molecules are approximately 80 nucleotides in length. Their secondary structure includes four short double-helical elements and three loops (D, anti-codon, and T loops).
Source: RNAcentral